Long non-coding RNA from Trifolium pratense (red clover), 197 nucleotides. RefSeq lists it as uncharacterized. Lineage: Eukaryota; Viridiplantae; Streptophyta; Magnoliopsida; Fabales; Fabaceae. The record is from RefSeq and is a predicted model, not a curated record. The transcript is spliced from 3 exons.
CGGACUUUGAAAAAUGGGAGAUUGUUGAGCCUAGGGGGAUACCAAAUGUUGGCAAUAGCGAAAAUUCUGGGUUGUGGGUGGCGGAAUGGUUGAACAUGGAACAAUCGUUCAACGAGCAAAUGACAGGAGUGCUUGACGAUCGGACUGUGAGGAUGAAAAUCGCGUUGAGGUUGUUAACGGGUCCCCACAAUGGUCUC